RNAcentral lists this long non-coding RNA (231 nucleotides) under Lathyrus oleraceus (garden pea). RNAcentral's name for it is "Pisum sativum (pea) long non-coding RNA (PSAT_LNC013878)". The record is from RNAcentral. Lineage: Eukaryota; Viridiplantae; Streptophyta; Magnoliopsida; Fabales; Fabaceae.
UUUUUUGUAUAUAUUGUCUUGUUGUUAUAUAAUAAUAUAUGGUUGUGUCCUUUGGAGAAUUUUUUCUUAAUAAUAAUCUGAUUAUGGUAUAUGACUUGUUUGUCGUUGAUCUGUGUUGGUUUUUGAGCGAUAACUUAAAAAAGGCACAAAAAAUCCCAAAUGACAUUUUUUCCAGAAAAAAAAAACAAGAAAGUCAGAAAAUCUAGAAAAGUGAAAAAAAAAUAAAAAAAU